AUCGCUUCUCGGCCUUUUGGCUAAGAUCAAAGUGUAGUAUCUGUUCUUAUCAGCUUAGUAUCUGAUACGUCCUGCAUCGCAGGACCAGAAUAUUAAACUCAUUUUUGGCUCAUGACGGAGUGCUAGGGGCUUGCUCCACCUCGCUUCGCAGACUGGCGCUUUAUACAUCGCGCCAGACUCGGAGUC
Small nuclear RNA from Schistocerca nitens (vagrant locust), 186 nucleotides. RefSeq annotates it as U2 spliceosomal RNA. Lineage: Eukaryota; Metazoa; Arthropoda; Insecta; Orthoptera; Acrididae. The transcript has a single exon. The record is from RefSeq and is a predicted model, not a curated record.